Rosa rugosa (rugosa rose) is the source of this 1070-nucleotide long non-coding RNA. RefSeq lists it as uncharacterized. The record is from RefSeq and is a predicted model, not a curated record. Lineage: Eukaryota; Viridiplantae; Streptophyta; Magnoliopsida; Rosales; Rosaceae. The transcript is spliced from 3 exons.
GAAAUGAUGGAAAAGGUCACAUUAGAGUGUGAAAUGAUAAAAAUGUCACCUAGUUUCCCACUUGAUAAAAAGGUCCAUUAUAAAUUGUUAGUAAUAUUAAUUUAGUCCUUAUUAAUAAUAAAGUGAUGUUAAAAAAGGUCAGUUUUUAAUUUUUUUGAUUCCGAUUAUGCCCUUCAAGCCAAUUCUCUCUCUAUAUUCUUCUCCUCCUCCUCACAGACACAAACCUCCUCUCUGGAGUGUCAAUGGCGAAGAACGACGCGUCCUUGGGAUCAGUGUGCCAGCAAUUCGGCAAGCCUUCGACGAUCGACGUCUCCAGAGAUAAGAGCCAAACGCGCACAUGAGGCCUUAUGAUGAUCUCCUUACCAACAGGUACUAGACCUCUUCAUGUCCGCAGCCGAGACCACCGACUCUGAUCGGCAAAACGAUGCUGUCUUAGACGAUGCGACGCAGCUGCGCUCCGUAGCUUCUGUUUCUCGGUCUCCGGCGCUGCCAUGGGAGAGCGACUGUGAGGAUCAGGUCAAGGAGGGGAUCGUUAGGUUUUCGACCGAUGGCGGGAGUGGCAAGAAGAAGAAAAAGACAAGGUUUUGGUUGAAGAAGAAUGGAGUAGUUAAUAAUGUUACUAAGAACUUGGGUGAUGAUUCCAUCUUAAAGGCCUUGAGGAGUUCGUCUCCUUUGGAUAAAUCGACUCCUUUUGGGCUAAAUUAACACCUAUUAUGAGGCCACCUAACAUCCCCAUUCGGCAUGUGAUUCUGAUAGCAUAAUCCAGUUUCUGGUUUGUAAAUAUACAAUCUUCAGACAAGUGGUAGUGAUGGUACCAUGGAAUGUACUAUAUUUAUCAUAAUGUACAGAAUGUACUAAAAUCUGAAAAGUAUGUUGGAAACUAGUCCAGGAGUACCAUGGAAGAGCUGAAGAAAUAAAUGAGGAUUGUCUCAUCUUGAUUGGAUUGGAGGGGAAUUUUGUAUUUGCAGUAAAAUGCUUUAGGCUGUUGAAGAAUGUUGAUGCUGUAUUACUGAUACUUUUGUAUCUCAAUUGCAUUUUUAUAGAUGGAAUAAAUUGAGAAAACAUCAUAA